Cavia porcellus (domestic guinea pig) is the source of this 3552-nucleotide long non-coding RNA. RefSeq lists it as uncharacterized. The record is from RefSeq and is a predicted model, not a curated record. The transcript has 3 exons. NCBI's taxonomy places the organism in Eukaryota, Metazoa, Chordata, Mammalia, Rodentia, Caviidae.
UUAAAAGCAUUAUAUAUUGAGAAGUCCACUUAUGAAUUCUCAGUGAUGUAGAGCAUAGGUCAAGUUAUUUUCUUUUGUAGUAGGACCCACAGCUUGAUGUAUAUCUGCUAAAAAAAUUACAUCUAACUUUAGCUUUAUUAAAAUCCACCAUUAUCUGCUUGCAUAGUACCUCAACUAUUUUAAAAGGUAUCAUACAACAUUAUUUCUAUGCCUAAGGAAAUAUAAAUGAAUAUAUUUUUAGAUUCACCUAGUAAUUACCUAACUAUUUUCUUAAGAUGACACAUAACCUUUGGGACACUGUUUAGAUAAUGAGUAUUAAAAUAUCCAGCAGUUAUGUACCAGUGUAGAUCUUUAUGAAAAAAUAAAAAGAACUUUUCCCCAUUUUAUUCUGUCUCUUCUCUUGGUCUUUACUAGCUUUGUCUUAGAUUCAGAAGAUUUAUAAAUCAAGAAAAAAAAUCAGAAAAAAAGGGUUCAGUGGCUUAUUUUUAAAUCCAUUUUCAGUUUUAAAUGAUGGAAAUUUAAAUCAAACUGGUACUCGCUGAGGAAGGUAUUUGUUGGCAUAGAUGUGUACCUACGUAUGAAUAAAGCUGACUUCCAGUGUCCAGAGGCUCUGAUUAGAAUCUCUCUCCCAUUCCGUAGACAGCCUAACAUGAUGUUGCCUUCAGUCUCGGGUCUUCAGAGGUCUCUUAGCCUACUGACCGCCAGGGAAAUAGCCUGCUUCCUUUUUCCAGUGGUGCCAGCAAAAGUCCUGAAACAGCCCUUGUAUCUGGCUAUGAUUAGUCUGUGUGACUCACCUGUCUGUCCUGAGAAUCAGGUGCUCACCUUAGCCUGGCCCAGGAUCACAUCCCCAGAAUGUGGCAAUUGCUUGAAGGACAGCAAAUGCUGCUGUUCCAGAAGUAUGUGGCCUGGUUGAUAAGCAGAUGCUAGGGUAGGUGUCUGUUAGAGCAGCUCGUGGCAUGACAAGGAAUUGUGGUGAGUUGUUUGGAAGAUCAUUUUCUUUAUCCUCCCUUUGAGUUCACUGUUGACACAGAACCUCUAAUUAGUUGCCUUGGUGUCUCUAGUCCAUCGUCUGGGUCUCUUUGACUGUCGUCAUUCCAGUUCCUGCUCACCUUUUCUGUGAGAAGUACCCCCUGGGAAGUGGUUGACAGCUCCAGCCUCUCUCCUAUCUGCCAGAGAGACUAAUAUCCUUCAGCCUCCUCUUCUCCCUGGUUCCAGAAGAACAAUGAGACACUGAUGCUGCUGUCUCAGGUAGAGCAGUACCCAUGGUGACACCUGAGAUUCUCUGGGAGCGCCCAGGCUGGCAGGGACCUGUGGCCUCCUCAAGUGCUCCUUGCUCACAGCAGCAGCUCGCGUCUGGCACAGCCUCCCUCACAGUCUACCCUGUGAGACACUUACAGUCAGCUCUGCUUUGGGUGCUUGUAGUGUUGCCAGAGAAGAAGUGUAACUCCCAGCCUGCUAGCUUCAGCUGUGCAGAGUUUGUGUCCCCUGAAAUUGAAAAAUGAAUUCCACAGGAUAGAGGAGGUUAAGCAUAUGAAAGAUUUAUUGGAGAUUAAGGAAUGGCUGCUCAGGAGGGGUCCUGAGUGGGUUGCCACCAAGAACAUUUAUCGGGUAAUUUAUACAGUAAAGUCACAGUGUGGGUAUAGCAUAGGCUGAACUAUAAUCAGCCAAUAAGAUGGUAGUGAGUUAUGUAGCUAAUUUGAUCCAGUAGUAAAGAGGGAUACAUAGCAAGGGCCUAUGGCUGACUUCAUCCACCUUGGCUUAUCUGUAGCUUCUAAAAUGAGAACAUUCUUGGGAAAGGAUGGGUUACCCUCUUAGGUGUCUUUUGUGUCUACCAUGAGAGCUUUCUAAAUUCCUGAGGGGAAAAAUGAUAAGAUGAUGAAGAAAUUAAGACAGAGACAGAAAGCUGGGGUCAGGUGAAGCCCUUCCUCUGGAUGGGGAGACUGCUCAACUACCACAUUGCGUUUAUUUAUACACUUGUCAUACCAUGUCCCUUCGCUUAACUAGCUCACUUCUCAGCCCUUUGUUCACCUCUAGCACUCUAUGCCCUAAGGGCAUUUCUCAGGUGCUUCAUGUCCUUGGCACACUCCUGUUCUGGCCCUUGUGCUUUUGGCUCCACAAAUGUGAACGAUCACCAACUCAGGAGCUCCCAGCAGUGUCUAAUGCACAUCUAGACUUAAUGGACUUGGUGGUAAUAAUUACUGUACAGUUCUUCUCCUCCCAUAAGGAAGCACACAAGUCAGGCCAUUGAGACUGUGUUUUGCGGCUUGGUCUUCUUCAGAUGCAGUUCCAACCACAGCUCUGAUAUCUUUGAUUUCCAUUGACUUUCUUGAGAGCCUCGCCUCUCUCUGACUGUACAUUAAUUUCUCUCCAACUUAGCUGCUUGUGAUACUGUUAGAAUUACAUUGAAAAGGGUCAGCAACUUCUCAGAAGUUGGAUCUGCAUUCUUGGGCUUUCCUUGCCUUAGGGUGGCCAUCUUCACUUGAAGAAGUUCAGGGUCCUGAAUGCCCUCAGAUGAUCUGCCCUCCCCACCUGCUUUUCAGAUCAGCAUUACAUGCAUACAUCUACUUUGAAUUCCAGAGAGAAUAACAUACUUCAUUUCUCCCAUUGUUUGUGUUUCUUUACACAGUUAGUUUCUCUGGUGAUUUGUUUUUCCUUACACACUCACCCACCCCUGAACCCAAUGGCCCUAGUGACUGCCUCCAGCUGUGAACGUUGUAUCUUAAAUAACAUUACAGUUUCUAGGAUUGCUGGAUCUUUAUUGUAGGAAGCAAGGCAUCUGAGGAUUCUGUCUGUGCCUUUCUGUCCUUUACCUGUAUGUUGCUAAGGUUUUAGUCUAACAACUAUCUGAGCUCUUGGUGUGCUGUUUUAGCAUGCACCUUUUGAUGCCAUGGUCAUGGUGAACAUCGCCCAUUACGUGGAUGAGAGGAUUAUAGAGACUGAAGGAAGAUGGAUGGGUUCAGAAAAAGUACGGGAUAUACCACUUCCAGAGGAGCUCCUGUUCACUGUGGAUGAGAAGAUAUUAAAUGACAUCAAGCAAGCUAAAGCCCAGUUUCUUCAAGAGAAAAGAAUUUACGGGAGGAAGGGAAGAUAAAGAAAACAAUCACAAUUGAAAAAAGAAAUUGUGGAGAAAUAGAAGAGUGACAUUGACGUGACCAGUCUCACCAAUAUGUACAGCGAGUCAAAAAUCCACCCUCAACAAUCUUAGAGAAAAUACUUGUAUAAGGAAGCUAGUGUUGCUAAAGGUGUUACUCAAAUUACUGAGUCAUGAUCAAAGUGUUAGAUUAGGUAGAAAGACUAUGAUAAGUGUGAUAAAAAGAGAUGAUGGCAGGUUAUAGCCUGUCUGAGACUAUAAUUUGAAAAAGCUGAGCUAUGAAUGCAGAUGUUGUAAAGGACAGUCCAUCAGUGAGUGAUAAUGGUAAAACAUUUUGUGCCAGUAAGAGAAGUUUCGUAAUGUUAAAGCAAGAAUUAGGAUGCAGCAGCCAGUGCUGGUGAAAGGGUUGCUGAAAAUAACAUACAUGAUUUCAAAAUGAUGACACAGAGAAAUUGCUUUUG